ACCCAAUGGUAGGCAGCUAAACCCAGUGCCUUAGAAUUAAGUCACUGCUCCCCCCAAACCACUCCAAUAAAGUUUCUGACUCAAACACUCUGUUCCCUGCUUCUUCCUUGUGGGUUUGCAUGGAUUGUGUUGUCAGGUCCCAGGCAAUGAGCUCCUGGGCAGUGCUUUUCCCUCGGAGCAGCCAUUUGCUCCCUUCCAUUGCCAGCCUAUGGACUGCUCUGCUCUCCCUUUUCAAGCCCUGCCUCUAGCUUGUGCAGGCUUUGCAGGUAUCUCUGGGCAGGGUUGCCUGAUCCCAGUGCUGUUCCGUAACCCCUUGCUCUUCAGUGUGGGGUUUGUAUACCACAAUACAGUUGUGUUUUCUUUUUUAAACCAAAGGGAAGGGUGAAAGAAUUUGGACUAUGUCUGUUGUCAUUUCACCUUUAUUUUUCUAUCUUCUCUGUUCUUACUGUUUUUUCAGCAUCUCCUUUUUCUUUGGUAGUGAAUGGGAUGUGGUCCCUCAGUACCUAGUCUGUAAGACUUCUGGACUUUGCACUAAUGACUUUGGUUCAUCUCAUAUAUUAGAAUUUCUUAAAUCUCUCCUUCUCUCCUCUACUCCCUUCCUUCCCCCAUUCCUGUUAACUCUCUUCCUGUACACAUCUGACUACAAAACUCAGUCCUAGUCUAAGGAGCUCCAGAUUGAAUGAAAGAAGAUACAUAGCUUCUGCCUAACUUGACUUUUGAGAAUCAGGCCAGUAAUUUGAAGUUCAAACUAGCUGUUAAAUAUGAACCAUAUUAAAUCGCUCAAGUGAAGGUAGGAUACAAAAUUCAGUCUGAAAGUGCUAAAAGUUUACAAUUGCAAAUUGCAGUUUGAAGUCGCUUGCUUAAAAGGAAUGGAGAAGAAAUAUAUAUAAAAUGUGUGUGUUUUAUCCUUUUAACACAGAUGACAAAGAGAACAAAAAUACAAAGAGAACAAAGGUAUCGAACCUGGAGUAAAGAGUCAAUAUCAGACGAGAUGGUUAGGAGCAGUGGACACAGCGUCCAGGUGCGAAGCCCAGGACCUUCUACUCUCCGGCUGAUUUAGAGCCUUCGAGGAGGACUACUGGGGAGUCCGGACGAUUGUUGGACUUCGUCACAGGUGGGGAGACCCUUUGAGAUGACAGGCACCAGGAAAGCAGGACCCUCCACAGAAAAAGAGAAAUGGAAGAGAAAGAAGAAUGUUGAGAGUGAGAAAAGGACCAAAGAAAAGCCCAAAAGGAAAGUAGGAAAUGAAUUAUCCGACAGCGAUACAGAGGAGGAAAAGGGGGGAGUGGGAGGGGACUAGGGUAUCAGGGAGCACCACAAACCCCACCCCCCCAAAAUAAAAGGCUUAUCCAA
Long non-coding RNA from Chrysemys picta bellii (western painted turtle), 1353 nucleotides. RefSeq lists it as uncharacterized. NCBI's taxonomy places the organism in Eukaryota, Metazoa, Chordata, Testudines, Emydidae. The record is from RefSeq and is a predicted model, not a curated record.